UACGUAGGGUGCAAGCGUUAAUCGGAAUUACUGGGCGUAAAGCGUGCGCAGGCGGCUUUGCAAGACAGAUGUGGAAUCCCCGGGCUCAACCUGGGAACUGCAUUUGUGACUGCAUGGCUGGAGUGCGGCAGAGGGGGAUGGAAUUCCGCGUGUAGCAGUGAAAUGCGUAGAUAUGCGGAGGAACACCGAUGGCGAAGGCAAUCCCCUGGGCCUGCACUGACGCUCAUGCACGAAAGCGUGGGGAGCAAACAGG
RNAcentral lists this ribosomal RNA (253 nucleotides) under uncultured bacterium. RNAcentral describes it as "partial 16S ribosomal RNA". It matches the Rfam family "Bacterial small subunit ribosomal RNA", at positions 524 to 776 of the family's 1533-position model. The record is from RNAcentral.